Molecule: non-coding RNA, 524 nt
Filed under: Gossypium arboreum
Lineage: Eukaryota; Viridiplantae; Streptophyta; Magnoliopsida; Malvales; Malvaceae
Description: Eukaryotic small subunit ribosomal RNA
Rfam family: Eukaryotic small subunit ribosomal RNA
Source: Rfam by way of RNAcentral
GUUCUUAGUUGGUGGAGCGAUUUGUCUGGUUAAUUCCGUUAACGAACGAGACCUCAGCCUGCUAACUAGCUACAUGGAGGUGAUCCUUCAUGGCUAGCUUUUUAGAGGGACUAUGUCCUUUUAGGCCACGGAAGUUUGAGGCAAUAACAGGUCUGUGAUGCCCUUAGAUGUUCUGGGCCACACGCACGCUACACUGAUGUAUUCAAUGAGUCUAUACCCUUGGUCGACAGGCCCGGGUAAUCUUUGAAAUUUUAUCGUGAUGGAGAUAGAUCAUUGCAAUUGUUGGUAUUCAACGAGGAAUUCCUAGUAAGCGUGAGUCAGCAGCUCGCGUUGACUACGUCCCUGCCCUUUGUACACACCGCCCGUCGCUCCUAUCGAUUGAUUGGUUCGGUGAAGUGUUCAGAUCGCGGCGAGUGAGCAGUUCGCUACCAGCGACGUCGCGAGAAGUCCACUGAACCUUAUCAUUUAGAGGAAGGAGAAGUCGUAACAAGGUUUCCUUAGGUGAACCUGCGGAAGGAUCAUUG